Molecule: long non-coding RNA, 2543 nt
Filed under: Homo sapiens (human)
Lineage: Eukaryota; Metazoa; Chordata; Mammalia; Primates; Hominidae
Description: non-protein coding lnc-SECTM1-1:1
Source: RNAcentral
CGAGGAGCAGCAGAGCCCUCUGAGGGCCCCUGUGAAUGCCUCGCGCAGAUCCGGGGCCCAGAGAACAUUCCAGAGAUGCUUGUGGAGUGGAGCAGCUUUAAUAAGACACAUUCUUGCUUCUCUGUUGGCUUCUUACCUGUGUCCUCGGGAUGGCUGCCAAGGUGCUACCAACCUGCUGCAUCCCUGGCUGAGGCUCAGAGCCUCCUGGGCUGGUGCCUUCCUGGGCACAGGAUCCCCAGCAAGUCCAGGAAUCUGACCUGAGGUCACCAAUCAUGCCCAGGGAAACCAGCCAGCCCCCAAAGCCUCCAAAACCCAAGUGGGCUUGGUUCUGUUGGCAGGUGACCCAGCUGGAAUCAAACAAGAAAGAAAAGUGUGUUUAGAUCAUCAGGUGACUCACCAAAUAGAACUUUCUUGAAAACUGUUUAAUAAUCAAGACCAGGAAAAGAUUAUGGAAUAUUCUAGCAAAGUCCAAGUACUUGGAUUUUAAAAUCAACAUUUAUCUUACUGCUCUUAUAUUACAAAGUUCCGCCCUCACCUCCAGUCUCAACGUUUGCACAAAGCAUUUCAGCAGCACAUGCAAUGGCGUUAUGGUUGGCUUUUCCCUCUCGCUCCUCCGCACAGCACUGAAGAAGGACAGGAGCAGUUUUCUUUGUUUCUUGCAUGAAUUUACUACUGAGGCUCGUCAGAGAGAGGCUGCCUGUGGGAGUGAUGCAUGGCCUCUGCUUCCACGGAGAAAAGCCACACGGUGGUGGCCAGGGGUGGGAUGCGCCCGUGGACAUGGAGGACAGAUGUGUUCUGAGAAGCUGCCUGUUUCUUUUGUUUGUUUUUGAGAUGGACUUUCACUUUUGUUGCCCAGGCUGGAGUGCAAUGGCGCGAUCUCAGCUCACGCCAACCUCCACCUCCCGGGUUCAAGUGAUUCUCCUGCCUCAGUCUCCCAAGUAGCUGAGAUUACAGGUGCCUGUCACCAUGCCCAGCUGAUUUUUGUAUUUUUAGUAGAGAUGGGGUUUCACCAUGUUGGCCAGGAUGGUCUCAAUCUCUUGACCUCGUGAUCCACCCGCCUUGGCCUCCCAAAGUGCUGGGAUGACAGGCAUGAGCCACCGUGCCCAGCCGAGGUGGCUUCUUUACAACAGACUAUCCAGGGGACCACAGUCACCCUCCCCUCACUCCCAGCCCACCCUUCCUGCUCAUUUGCUUUGUCCACCUACUCAGCUCCGUGGCCCAUUGGUGGCCUCCAUCCUUCUGAAGGACCAAGAAGCCACUGCCAUGUGGAAGCACCUCCACGUGCCCUGGUCAGGUCUGUCACCAGUGCUGUGUGAGGAUCAGAACACCCUCGACCACACUGGCUCAUCAUCCAAAUUGUAAUCAUGGACUUAGAGGCUGUCCUUUUAAAAAUAACUUUUGGUAUUGUUUGCUUAUUUCAAAGUAAACAAAUUCAUUAUCAAACAUUUAGAAAACAGGCAAGCAAAUAAGAGGAAAGAACAUCACCAGUCACACAUUCUCCAGAGAGUGCAAAAAGCAAGGUCUCUGUAUCUUACUCUCAAGUAGGAAGAAUGGUUGCAGGAGAGGAAGGAAGGAGAGAGGGCCUGGGCGCUGUACCCGGCUGUGGCCAGCUCUGUCCUGAACCCUCCUGGGGUCUGUCCUGAACCCUCCUGGGCUCUGUCCUGAACCCUUCUGGGGUCUGUCCUGAACCCUCCUGGGGUCUGUCCUGAACCCUCCUGGGCUCUGUCCUGAACACUCCUGGGCUCUGUCCUGAACACUCCUGGGGUCUGUCCUGAACCCUCCUGGGGUGGGAUUUCCAUAAGGUGGGCAUUAUUAUCUUCCCUGGGCUGGGCCAGAGCCUGGUUGGGGCCUGGGGCCCCAUCCUGAGUCCAGAGUCUGUGACUCCUCCAUAGGCCCCAGGGCCUGUGCAGUGACAGUCCCUGAGCAGCAAAAGAGCAAAUGAGUGCUGGGAAUUGUGGGUCCCUUCCCUAAAAAGGCAGAGGUGGUGAUCCCGCCCAGCCCAGGGUCUUCAAAACUGCAGGUACAUCCUUGCUGUUCUGUCAAACACAUCUGCAGAUAACUUGAGUCCAUCUAGGGUGGGUUUCCAGGCAGCUGGGGACCAAGUGAGGGGGUGGAGGCGGCCACGUGAGACCCCAGGAAGCAGAGCCCCCACCACCCCAGGAGAUUUCUUCAUCCACAGUGGCAAGGGUGGGGGCUGCCCUAAGAUGUCAGCAAAGACCACCAUUGGGGAAGGUCUUGGACAUGACUCUGAGUGGUCCCAUGGGGAAAGGGGACUGGUGUCUCCUGGAGGGAGAUGCUGGAAGAAGGCCAGAGAGGAAGGAUGGCCAGAAGUCCCCAUUUCCAUAGCCCAAACCUGUGGAAACACUGCCCCUGGGCAGCUCUGUGCCCCUGGCGACCUCCUGGUAUGAUGCAGCUUAGAAAGAAGCUGCCUGUCUCUCCAUUGCCAGCCUUUUCUGGAAGUCUGGGUGCCUUCAGGUUUGGGGAUACUGAAACAUCCUCCCAAUAUCCCAGGGCUCCUGGCCUUUGAACACCCGCGAGGGGCG